Molecule: long non-coding RNA, 3304 nt
Filed under: Homo sapiens (human)
Lineage: Eukaryota; Metazoa; Chordata; Mammalia; Primates; Hominidae
Description: HSALNT0405231
Source: RNAcentral
AAAGAUUAGCUAUAAACAACGUGUUUAUUUCAUUUUAGGAUACAUUUUCAGAGGCAACUAGGUAGAAAGGUGAACUUUCCCAUCACUUAGACCUCAAGUCAGCAGCUCAUGCAGCAGUGAUUGCUCGGGUGACUCUGAGUGACCUGUUCUACCUCUAGAGCUGACGUUUCUGUUCUGGUUAGGCUAAAUGGAGGAAAUAAAAAUUCUCCAAACAUUUCAUUAAGAUUCACUGGGAAACAGUACCCUGAGUGCUUAGAGCUGCACUCCUCACACAGAAGACACAGUAAGGGUUAGGGAACCUUCUCAGGGGAUGAAUACACACGAACUUUCACCACAGCGACCAAGAGCUUAUAUUGGGAGUCUGAUUCCGGCCUCUAGGGAAGCUGGAAAAUCCAAAACCAAUCUCAUUAAACUAUUUCAUCUACUCAUAGGAGGAGGUCCAGCUCUUAUAAAACUGCCAACCCUUCCUUCUCUCCCUCUCCUCACCCUCCACCCACAGGACAGGGCCGGGCACACGGAGGAGGGACACUGAGGACCUGGGUGGUGGAGACCCUGGCUUUCCUCUCUUCUCACCCAUGGUGGGCUCUGCUUAUCCUCAUCUUUUCUUCCCCAGUUAGGGUUUCCUGGGAGGCUGUGAGUUGUCUGGGGACCUCAUCAACAUUUGCACAAAUGCCCCAGACUCUGCUCACCUCUUUCAAAGGGGCUCCUCCCUCUGAGCCUGCAAUGUCUGUGUGAUUGGGAGGUGUCACCUCCAGGCCCUGAAACCACAGCACCCGCAGGGUCUCUGGCCCCAGUCUGAGGUUUCUCUACAAGCUUUGGAGAUGAAUGAAGCCUCUGUUUUAACAGGAAUAGAUCGGUUUAUCAAAGCAUGUAAAGGCCAGAUGUUCGUUUCUAUGUUAGGGAUCCUGAAGAGUUGUUUCAGAGUGGAUGAAUGACUGUCACAUCCUCAGUGGCCCUGCCACUCUGACAGAUGAGUAGUCACUUGUCAUACAUCUUGUUCACUUGAACUUCAACGACUGAAAAUACAAACAAUUAGCCAGGCGUGGUGGUGGGCGCCUGUAGUCCCAGCUACUUGGGAGGCUGAGGCAGGAGAAUGGCAUGAACCCAGGAGGUGGAGCUUGCAGUGAGCCGAGAUCGCGCCACUGCACUCCAGCCUGGGUGACAGAAUGAGACUCUGUCUCAAAAAAAAAACAAAAAACAAAAAACAAAAACAUUCUAUUUAUGAUUUGAAAUGGAAAUAACAAAAAGUACAAUUACUAUCAUUUCAACUACUAAUUAAGCAAGUACAGAAGAAAUCUAUGACAUUUGAGAAGAGUAAUCUGCAUACAACAGCACCUUCCUCUUGAUUUUGAUGUGAACCACCACCAGCUGUUUCAACACUUGCUCUCAUUUAACUGAAUAAGAGGUCAGCAGCAAGGUUGUUGAAUUACUGAUGUUUUCCACAGUGAUUCAUUUUAAUGUAUAGUUGAUUUUACCAUGAAUGUAAAAAGUGUGUUUUUCUCCUUUGUAUGUUAUAUUUUAAUAAUAAAUUGAAUUUUUUAAAAAUGCGGCCAGGCACAGUGGUUCAUGCCUGUAAUCCCAGCACUUUUGGAGGCCAAGGCAGAUGGAUCACCUGAGGUCAAGAAUUUGAGACCGCCUGGCCAACAUGGUGAAACCUCAUCUCUACUAAAAAUACAAAAAAAAAAAAAAAAAAGCCAGGUGUGGUGGCACACGCCAUCUGUGCUCCCAGCUACUCAGGGAGGCUGAGGCAGGAGAAUCACUUGAACGCAGGGGGCAGAGGUUGUAGAGAGCCAAGAUCAUGCCACUGCAUUCCAACCUGGGUGAAAGAGGGAGACUCCGCCAAAAAAAAAUAAAUAAAUAAAAGCAUCAUCCUGCUUUGACAAGAGAUGGAAGUCUGUUCUUCAGGAUUUCUGGGAGUGGGAAUCUUAUUGUCUUGUGUAAAACUCCACUGGGGCAAGCGUCAGAAUCGAGGAGUGACCUUCUCGCACCCCUGGACUCUUUUUGACUAUGUGAACUAAAACAUGAUAAGAAGCUGUCAUUUUAACCCCCACAGUGACAGUUUCCCCACAACUGAAUUCUAAUCUUAAGUGAUGCACUCCCCAGAAUGUUCUGGACAAGGCCUGGUGCCAUCCCUGCUGCAGUCCCUGGAGGGAGAGCAGGGGGUCUCCUCGGGGCCACCGUGGAGUCUCUGGGGCAAGAGGGAGGCUGCCGGGGGGAGGAUGACAGGUCUGCUCACUUGUGGACUGGACACAAUUCCUUCUAGGCUGCCGGGGGAGGAUGACAGGUCUGCUCACUUGUGGACUGGACACAAUUCCUUCUAGGCUGCCGGGGGGAGGAUGACAGGUCUGCUCACUUGUGGACUGGACACAAUUCCUUCUAGGCUGCCCUCUGGAUGUGAAUUCCAGAUGCACAGGUAAUGUAGCAGCAGAAAUUCCUCUGAGAUUAUGUCUGUGUAUAGUUGUGUUGGUUUGAAAAGUGUUUUGGUCAUUUGAGUCUUCAUACUUAGUAAACAAACAAAAAUAAACUGGAAAAAAAUUCUGAAUUUGUAAAGUGGUAUCAAUAGUGUAGAUACAUUUUUUUUUUUUAAUUGAGAUGGAGUCCCACUCUGUUGCCCAGGAUGGAGUGCAGUGGCAGGAUCUCCUCUCACUGCAAGCUCCGCCUCCUGGGUUCACGCCAUUCUCCUGCCUCAGCCUUCUGAGUAGCUGGGACUACAGGCGCCAGCCACCAGGACGGCUAAUUUUUUGUAUUUUUAGUAGAGACGGACUUUCACCGUGUUAGCCAGAUGGUCUCGAUCUCCUGACCUUGUGAUCUGCCUGUCUCAGCCUCCCAAAGUGCUGGGAUUACAGGCAUAAGCCACCACGCCUGGCCUAGUGUAGAUACAUUUUAACAUCAACAAAGAGACGGGCCAGCAUCUGGGGGCCAGCAGGUUUUGUCCCACUUCCCCGCCUGCCUGUGUCGCUGUGAGAAGCAUCACUGGUCCAGGCAUACAGUAAUAGCCUUGUUCUCUAGCUGGGCCCAGAGAUGUAAAGAAUCCCUGCAUUUUCAGGGGCAUCUUUGGUUCCAAAGAAGCGGCUGGGGACGCUGGAGCCCUGGUGCUUAUUUGAAUGCCAGUGGUAGCUCAGGAGAUGCUGGAGAGGGCUCCCUGGCUUCUGCCAUCUCCAGUGUAUCCCAUAGUCACCAACAUUGAAGCCACUGCUCAGGGUGCAGGGGAGUCUGGCAGAUGCUACCGGGGUUGCAGAGAGGGAGGGCAGCUGAGUCAGCACAGGCUGGAGAGGGAAACUGCAGACACAGACAGUCACUGGUG